RNAcentral lists this ribosomal RNA (450 nucleotides) under uncultured Glomeromycotina. Its description in RNAcentral is "SSU rRNA". It matches the Rfam family "Eukaryotic small subunit ribosomal RNA", at positions 569 to 1023 of the family's 1831-position model. Lineage: Eukaryota; Fungi; Glomeromycota. The record is from RNAcentral.
AGCAGCCGCGGUAAUUCCAGCUCCAAUAGCGUAUAUUAAAGUUGUUGCAGUUAAAAAGCUCGUAGUUGAAUUUCGGGGUCAGUAGAUUGGUCGUGCCACUGGUAUGUACUGGUCUUACUGGCUCCUCCUUCCUGAUGAACCGUAAUGCCAUUAAUUUGGUGUUGCGGGGAAACUGGACUGUUACUUUGAAAAAAUUAGAGUGUUUAAAGCAGGCUAACGCUUGAAUACAUUAGCAUGGAAUAAUGAAAUAGGACGUUCGAUCUUAUUUUGUUGGUUUCUAGGAUUGACGUAAUGAUUAAUAGGGAUAGUUGGGGGCAUUAGUAUUCAAUUGUCAGAGGUGAAAUUCUUGGAUUUAUUGAAGACUAACUACUGCGAAAGCAUUUGCCAAGGAUGUUUUCAUUAAUCAAGAACGAAAGUUAGGGGAUCGAAGACGAUCAGAUACCGUCGUAG